Long non-coding RNA from Talpa occidentalis (Iberian mole), 4233 nucleotides. RefSeq lists it as uncharacterized. Lineage: Eukaryota; Metazoa; Chordata; Mammalia; Eulipotyphla; Talpidae. The record is from RefSeq and is a predicted model, not a curated record. The transcript is spliced from 3 exons.
CCCCCACCCCCAAAGAACAAGCACUCAGUGGCCAUGGUGAACAGGAGUACACCAGGGAAGGUUGAGGCUCUGGAGAGGCUCUGGGGCUGGGCCCAGUCAGAGGGGCCAGGAGCAGCAUGAGACUCACAGGACUGCAGCACAGAAGUCUGGGCAGCACUGAUGUCCCUGGAGCAGAGCAGGUGAAGGACCAGUCGGGCAACGAAACUGGUGAAGCAUCUGGAGAGGAGCAGAGCAGGUGAGGGUUGGCGUGCGGAGGGGUUGGGGAGAGUUGAGCAGGUACAGGACCAGGAGAGGGGUGUGGGGCUGUGUGGGCAGAGCCUCCAGUGGUCCCAGGGCCACAGGCGAGGAACCCUGGGCCUCUCUCCCCCAUCUUAGGCACUGCCCCCUUGGUGGGAGAAACCUGCUGCUCACCCCUGGGCACACAGAUGGUGCAGAGGAUGCAGGAGCUCUUGCAAAGGCUUGGGCCUGGGUGGUAAAUCGUGCAGAUUGCAAGGAGCACAUAGAUAGGCUCUCUAGCUCCCCUUAAGAAAGACUCUGGGACCAGUAUAUUAGAAUCCAAACGGGACUCUCCAAGGUGGGCAGAGGUUAUUCACAGAGCAGCCCUAAUCCACCAUGACCUGCUCAGCUGGAAAAUCCGCACAUCUUCCUGCUCCACGAAGCCUAGGCUAUGAUCAGUCUCAGUCCCGCAGUGAGCACACCUAGGUGUCCAGUGUCCCCUGGGCCGAAGCUGCAGCUCGUCAUGGAGUACGUGCAGAAGGGAUUUUGCAACUUGGGAUUCUUACACGGUGUCAGUCCAGCUGGAAUUUCUCCUUUUAAAAAUCCUCUCCAGACGGCUACCCACCCUUCCUCCUCCCUGGAUUCAAACCCUGCAGGGUGACCUUAGCCAAAUUGGAAACAUUAAUAUGCCCAACAGAUGCAGGCUUUGGACACCAUUCUCUGCCAAUUAAAUCACUGGGUACAGGAAUGAAAAACUACAGGGGCUGUCUACCUUAAAUUUGUGUUUUUUCAUCAUUGUUUAGAUGGUGUUCAAUUCCCUUCUAAAACUAAGGUUUUGCUAAGUCUGGUAAAUGCAAGUGAGCUGAGGUAUGUGUGUUUGAAAAAAGAAAUGUAUGGAAGAGGGAUAUUCUGAAGGGCCUUAAGAUAAUGUAAAGCCGGAUGGGUAAAAUGGAAUGGCAUUAGAAUGAAAGCAAGCAAAAGAAAGUGUUGAAGGUCUGACAGGGAGGUUUUGGUGAGAAAUCGUGUGUACUCAGGUGUCUCCCCCUCCUCCAACACAUUCAUGGGCUUGCUCAUCUGACCAGCAAAGCCCCCUCUGACUGACCUUUUGUCAGCUGAACCUGGGGCCAGGGCAUCCAAACUUGGACCAACUCUCCCUUACUGCCAUGGAUCCUUCCCAUAGUAGGCCUGGUGAUCAUGAUCAUGCUUUUAUUUGUUUCUACACCCCAUUUUCUCUGCUUUAUCCAGGAAAAGCUCUCUGAGAUGAGCCUUCGCACUCCCAGACCUGGGAAAGCCAUUCCUGUUAUUGACAGAUGAGCAACAGGGCGUUGCUCUAGGGGUUCUGGGCCAACCUACGCCAGUCCAGCGAGCAGUUGCUUAUUUCUCUAAACAAAUGGAUCCCACUGUAAGAGGAUGGCAGCCCUGCCUGCGUGCACUUGUGGCAGCUUCUCGUCUCGCUAGACCUAAGGCCUUAAAACCCACACUGGGCCAAUCUGUAAAUGUUAGUUCUCCACAUGGGCUCCAGGACCUGCUCACUCAUCAGGCUCUCUCCCCUCCAUCACCCUCUUGUCUGUUAGAUUUCUACUCUCUUUGUCAAAGACCGUCUCAUCUCCCUCUCCCAAUCCUCGACUCUCCAUCCUGCCAGGCUUCACGGGUGUUCCACUCCCUAACGCAGGUAAAACCCUCUUCUUACUAGGGUGGACACCAUCACCAGUUGGACAGUGGACCUGCCUUUAUCUCAAAGAUUACUCCACAGGUCUCCUCCCUGGGCAUCACCUGGGAACUACACAUUCCCUCCCGACUGCAAUCCUCUGGUAAGGGAGAACGGAUAAAUGGUCUGACCAGAGACCACCUAGCCAAACUCUCCACAGAGCCCACAAAUCCUGGGUGGAGCUGCUCCCACUGGCUUUAGUGCAUCUCCGAGCCACUCCCCAUGGCCCCUUGUUCCUGAUCCCCCUUGAACGGAUGUGUGGCAAACCUCUUCUUACUAACCAUGAGCUCCGCGUCCAACCUACACUGUUGGCUGGAUAUUUUCCAUACUUCUCUUUGCUCAGACAGCUGCUCCAAGAACACGCAGACCUUUGUCUGCCACAACCUGUGCCUCCGUCCCCUGAUGCACCUGUCAACCUGCUGUGCCCUGGAGACCAGGUUCUUCUGAAAGCCAUCUCUCCAAAAGCACUUCCGCCAAAGUGGAUGGGUCCACACACGAUCAUCCUGACUACACCAAUGGCUGUCAAGGCAUCAGCUGUCCAGGGUCAAAGCGGUCCCUGUGGACAAGCACUAAUGAAGCAAUGUUGACACAAUUACCAAACUCUGUGCUUAAUUUCAUCAGUUCUUCCUAAUGUACAUUUUAUGUUCCAUAAUCCAAAUUGCCUCACUCAGUUACAGCCAGUUCUCCUCGAUGUGCCUCUUGCUGACUGUUUCUCUGACUUUGCUUGUUUUUAUAACGUUGACAUUGGUGAGGAGUGAUAUUUUGGAGAGGUGUUGGGUUCACAGUUGGGGUUCUUGGGUCACGUCUGAGAAAAAUUUCACCAGAUUCCCCCUUUCACAUACACAGUGAGUUUCCCCACAAGACAGAGACUUUUUGUCUGUGCCAAAGAGAAGUUUUAUUAUUUCUUUUUUUAAAAAAAGGGAAAGAGUCAGAACCCUGCUACCCUCCCCCACCCACUGAGUAGGCUCUCUCCGACCAACGGAAAGGAGGGAAAAAAAAAAAAACUGCAAGAACGAACUACAGAUCAAGGGGGACACUGAGUAGAGAGGAACUAUUUCAGGCACCGCACCCCACAAAUGGGAACUGUGGAGAACGGUGAAGAAAUCACCACAGAGGUGAUCGAGCGGCUCCGGGCGCCAUCAGAGGAAGACAAGGAUUCCACGGAGACCUAUAAAUAGCCUAAGGCCAGCUGAGAACCACUGGGAAAAUGCAAAGGUCAGCAAGGACAGGUCUCUGGUGCCACCUCAUGACCAGAACAAAAUCACCAACUAGCUGAUUCCCUGUUGGAACUAAGUAAAUACAGAGGGAGGGAACUGUAAGGGACAGUGCCCAGCAACACAGCAUCAACACUCUGGUGGAGUGUUGUCUCCAGUGCCAGUCUCAGUCUGGUGAACAGUUUCCGACACCCCUAAAGGAGCACUCCAAAGAGAUGGAAGCCACCCUUAGGACAACUUGGAUCCUUCUCCUUUGGGGACUUGCUGGCGCGGGGUUGCACAGAGAGGAGGGGGCAGAGCUUGCUGGCUUUCAGGGCUGCUUCAGAACCCAGGGGUUCUCUGAGCCCCUCUGGCUGCCCCCCCCAACAGUAAAUGGACUGAACAGUGAAGAGGAGGAGGAAGAGGAGGACAAGGGUCCCCUGACAAAACUAAGCAUCCCGGACGAUCUAGACAGCUGCGAGGCCAUGGUGAGCUCGGCCCUGGGGCCCCUUCCCUGCCCCACCUUCCCCCUCCCACCAGCACACCCUUCUUCUUGGUUUCCCUCCCUUUGAUUAAGCUUUCACCCACCUCUGCUGGGAGCCAGUGGGUAGACACCAACACCAUCCUCGAAUCUCAGGUGUGCCCACGGAGGCCCUGAGAGGUGUGCCUCCCAACCUCCUGCCGGGCCCACAGGGGCACCCUGCACUUCUGGCCCACAGGUGGCAUUUUGUGACUCGGCCUUGGCCAGUGCUGAGGAAGAACAGGCGCGGCUACACAGGCAGCUAAAGGAGCAAAAGCUGCUCUGCUGGCUCCUGGCUCAGCAGGCAGCCCCAUGGGACCAGGAGCCUGAGAAGAUGGAGGCCCCAGCCCCCGGGGGGAAAGUGUGCCUGGGGAGACCCACCAGGCCCUUCAGGGAGCCAUGGAGAAACUGCAGGGCCGCUUUACCGAGCUCAUGCAGGAGAAAGUGGGCUUACAGGACUGGAUGGAGGAGCUGGAGCAUCGAUGUAUCCAGAUGUCUGGAGAGACUGACACCAUCGGUGAGCGGGGAGGCUUGUGCCCUGCAGCUGGGGUGCUAUGCAGAGGCUGGGGAGACCCCAGCAGCUGAGCUGUCUGCGC